UUUUGAGGGUGACUUGCGGAGGUAGAUGAUGGGUUGUUGCCGGCCCUUACAUGAGAGCAUGUGCACACUUUGUACAUUCCAAUUCUUACACCUCUGUGCACUUCUCAUAGAUUUAGUGUGGAAGAGAUCUUAUUGAUCUUGGAAACGCUGAAUCUGUGUUUUUACAAACGCUUUAGUAUUAGAAUGUCAUCUGCGAAUAACGCAAUAAAUACAACUUUCAGCAACGGAUCUCUUGGCUCUCGCAUCGAUGAAGAACGCAGCGAAAUGCGAUAAGUAAUGUGAAUUGCAGAAUUCAGUGAAUCAUCGAAUCUUUGAACGCACCUUGCGCCCCUUGGUAUUCCGAGGGGCAUGCCUGUUUGAGUGUCAUGGUAUUCUCAAUACCCUACAUCUUUGCGGAUGAAGGUGUAUUGGAUUUGGAGGUUUAUGUUGGCUCUCUUGAUAGUCACUCCUCUUAAAUGAAUUAACAUAAAGAUACUGCUACUCUCCAUGGGUGAUUGACUAGCUGUUAGGAAGCAGGGAGUGAAGUCUAUGCUUCUCUCCAAUCCGCCCGGGAUUUUUUUCGGACCUCAACCCCCGUGAGGAGGACUCCCGUUGACCUUUCGUUUUCAAGGAAGAAAGAA
This 620-nucleotide ribosomal RNA is filed under the name Pseudolagarobasidium acaciicola. RNAcentral's name for it is "partial 18S ribosomal RNA". The stretch from base 213 to 366 matches the Rfam family "5.8S ribosomal RNA". The record is from RNAcentral. Lineage: Eukaryota; Fungi; Basidiomycota; Agaricomycetes; Polyporales; Cerrenaceae.